UGGGGAAUAUUGCACAAUGGGGGAAACCCUGAUGCAGCAACGCCGCGUGAGUGAAGAAGUAUUUCGGUAUGUAAAGCUCUAUCAGCAGGGGAAGAAGAUGACGGUACCUGAUUAAGAACGCCCGGCUAACUACGUGCCAGCAGCCGGCGGUAAUCACUCGCU
This 162-nucleotide ribosomal RNA is filed under the name uncultured bacterium. RNAcentral's name for it is "partial 16S ribosomal RNA". It matches the Rfam family "Bacterial small subunit ribosomal RNA", at positions 355 to 529 of the family's 1533-position model. The record is from RNAcentral.